Bubalus bubalis (water buffalo) is the source of this 470-nucleotide long non-coding RNA. RefSeq lists it as uncharacterized. The transcript is spliced from 2 exons. The record is from RefSeq and is a predicted model, not a curated record. NCBI's taxonomy places the organism in Eukaryota, Metazoa, Chordata, Mammalia, Artiodactyla, Bovidae.
UGGACAGGUCUUGGAACAUUAUUUCCACAGUCAGAACACCCGCACUCUGGGUCAGGACAACAAAAGUAGUGUCUUGAUCUCAUUAAACAAACUCAAGUGCCCCCAAUAUAAAACUGUUUUUUUUUCCCCACAACAGUACUUAAUUUCCACUUUUAGCUUUUAUUCUGACAACAAAUGGACACUUUUUUUGGGCCACACCUCAAGGCUUGCAGGAACUUAGUUCCUGACCAGGGAUGGAACCCAGACCUCCUGCAGUGGAAGCGCAAAGUCCUAACCACUGGACCGACAGGGAAUUCCAACAAAUGGACACUUAAGUUCCACUGAUGACCACGAACUGGAAGAUGCCAAGAAAAAGAGGCUGUGAGGAGCCAGAGUUGAAGCUUAGGGGUUGUGUGAAGAGGAGUUUUGAGGAAGAGUGGGGGCCAAGAAGAUGCUGGAGAGUCCAAAUUAUGAGGAAGGCAGAGAAGCGG